RNAcentral lists this ribosomal RNA (430 nucleotides) under Bacteroidota bacterium. RNAcentral describes it as "Bacteroidetes bacterium partial 16S ribosomal RNA". It matches the Rfam family "Bacterial small subunit ribosomal RNA", at positions 355 to 776 of the family's 1533-position model. The record is from RNAcentral. Lineage: Bacteria; Pseudomonadati; Bacteroidota.
UAGGGAAUCUUCGGCAAUGGGGGGAACCCUGACCGAGCAACGCCGCGCGAGUGAAGAAGGUUUUCGGAUCGUAAAGCUCUGUUGUUAAGGAAGAACGAGUGUGAGAAUGGAAAGUUCAUACUGUGACGGUACUUAACCAGAAAGGGACGGCUAACUACGUGCCAGCAGCCGCGGUAAUACGUAGGUCCCGAGCGUUGUCCGGAUUUAUUGGGCGUAAAGCGAGCGCAGGCGGUCAAUUACGUCUGAUGUGAAAGCCCCCGGCUCAACCGGGGAGGGUCAUUGGAAACUGGUUGACUUGAGUGCAGAAGAGGAGAGUGGAAUUCCAUGUGUAGCGGUGAAAUGCGUAGAUAUAUGGAGGAACACCAGUGGCGAAGGCGACUCUCUGGUCUGUAACUGACGCUGAGGUUCGAAAGCGUGGGUAGCAAACAGG